CAACUUUCAGCAACGGAUCUCUUGGCUCUCGCAUCGAUGAAGAACGCAGCGAAAUGCGAUAAGUAAUGUGAAUUGCAGAAUUCAGUGAAUCAUCGAAUCUUUGAACGCACCUUGCRCUCCUUGGUAUUCUGAGGAGCAUGCCUGUUUGAGUGUCAUUAA
This 159-nucleotide ribosomal RNA is filed under the name Cortinarius sp. EH40. RNAcentral's name for it is "5.8S ribosomal RNA". It matches the Rfam family "5.8S ribosomal RNA". From Rfam's summary of the family: 5.8S ribosomal RNA (5.8S rRNA) is a component of the large subunit of the eukaryotic ribosome. It is transcribed by RNA polymerase I as part of the 45S precursor that also contains 18S and 28S rRNA. Functionally, it is thought that 5.8S rRNA may be involved in ribosome translocation. Lineage: Eukaryota; Fungi; Basidiomycota; Agaricomycetes; Agaricales; Cortinariaceae. The record is from RNAcentral.